UACAGAGGGUGCAAGCGUUGUUCGGAAUUAUUGGGCGUAAAGCGCGUGUAGGCGGCUUUGCAAGUCGGGUGUGAAAGCCCUCGGCUCAACCGAGGAAGUGCGCCCGAAACUGCAGAGCUUGAGUACCGGAGAGGAUGGCGGAAUUCCACAAGUAGAGGUGAAAUUCGUAGAUAUGGGGAGGAACACCGGUGGCGAAGGCGGCCAUCUGGACGGAUACUGACGCUGAGACGCGAAAGCGUGGGUAGCAAACAGG
Molecule: ribosomal RNA, 253 nt
Filed under: uncultured bacterium
Lineage: Bacteria
Description: partial 16S ribosomal RNA
Rfam family: Bacterial small subunit ribosomal RNA
Source: RNAcentral